Molecule: long non-coding RNA, 2138 nt
Organism: Salvelinus sp. IW2-2015
Lineage: Eukaryota; Metazoa; Chordata; Actinopteri; Salmoniformes; Salmonidae
Source: RefSeq, a predicted model, not a curated record
GACACAGGGAGGAAACUGAGGAAUAGACAGAUAUAGGGGAGGCAAUCUAUAAGUGAUGAAGCGCUGAUCCGCGUAACGAUGGUGACAGGUGUGCGUAAUGAUGGGCCGCCUGGCGCCUUCGAGUGCCAGGUAGAACAAGCCCAGCUUCUGGAUGUGGCGGCGGCACAUGAAGUGUGUUUGGGGUGUUGGAGCCUAGGGGUUCCCCAUGAGAUUUGUCCUAUGUAGCCUCCUCUUUGACCCUCUUUUUGGACUGCUUCUCCCUCCAAAGGGUCUCACAGGCGUUCCUCCUCAGGGCUGGCAGGGGGCUGGAACUCGGGAAACGUGUUUCUGGAGAUGGGGCAGACCUUGGUCCCWCCCUGCUUCCAGGUGGCCUCCAGGCAGGUCCUGCAGAAGCUGUGGCUGCAGUAGAGGACAGCAGAUGGGACAUGACAGGUCGUCCUCCAGGGGGGAGAGACAGGCUGCCCUUCUCUCUGAACAACUGGAGCCAGAAUGACCGAGGUUUUUAGAGCAUUGAGAAAGAGCCUGUGUCAAUGAAUGUGUCUCGCCCUCAGUGUGCAAGAGUGUUUGAGGAGAGACUCAAGAGGAGAGGAGAGACUACUGUGAAUAAUCAGAUUAAUGCAAUAGUUUGAUUUAAAACUAAUACUAAGAAAUCCUAAUAAUAUCACUUCCCCUAAUAACCCGGUAUAUAUGGAUUAAUUUGAUGAUCGGACUAUCUAGGGGAAGUGAUGUCACGAGAUCCCACAAUUGUUACUUGUUGUCAACUCCUGUGCUCCCCUAGUAAACAAUUGCUAACAAGGAUAGCUACUUMUUAGCUAGCUAGGAUACUGGAAGUUAGCAGAGAUAAAAAGAAACAUGAGUGUUUUUGGUACUCCUUGUUUUUCGCGGUUUUCUUACAACUAUUACAAAACGAGCUAAAUCAAACUUUAUUAUUCUCAACGUUGGCGAAAAGCAGAAGACGCCGUCAUUCCCUCAUACAGCAGAGGCAUCUUCCUUUGUUAUCAUGGUUGGAGAGGUACCGUUCUUGCCACCCCAGACCACUCAUGGGUGUUGGAUGCGAGUUCGCAGUAAAGGAUUGGCGUGAGAGAGUGGUCCUCAUAGAAUAUACUGAUGCAGAAUGGAGAGAACUUUCGCAUGCCCUGAAGAUCCUUUCAGAAGCUAUGCGGCAUGAUGGAGAGAAGCCUGCGCCCCAAUGAUACUACUGUUCGUGKGGCUGCGCCACUUGAAAUGCGAGUGGCGAUUGCCUGCUACAAACUGGGAAGCUGUGGGGAAUAUUAUGUUGUAGCCAAUCAGUUUGCGGUAGACAAAUCAACAGUGAAAAAGUUUGUGUGUAUGUUCUGAGGCAACUGUGUCCUCGGUGAUCAGAGAUCUUAUCAAAGUCCCAACGCUGGAGGAGGCCUGCACUAUCGCACAGAGAUUUGAGAGGGUGUACCACACUCCGCAAAUCAUCGGAUGCGUGGACGGUGCACAUAUCCCUAUCCUGCCACCUACUGACGGAUACAGGGACUUUGUCAACUGCAAAGGCCGGCCUUCCUAUGUUCUUCAAGGGAUUGUUGAUGAUACCUAUUGCAUUUGGAACAUCAGCCGCAAACUGCCUGGGAGUGCACAUGAUGCAAAUGUAGUGAGACAAUCGACUCCGUUUGAGAAGGCUCACCUACUCCCAAAGGGUGAAGGACAUACAGUACAGGGAGGCAGGUGAACUUUUUAAUUCUUGGCGACCUGGAGAGAGCCCUACCUCAACCUGGUGCACAAGCACAGAAUGCACCCAACGCUGAUGGUCAUGCUGCAAGGCAAGCCCUGACAGAGUACAUGGCAGCUAACUUCCCUCUCCACAGGCGAGAAAUGUAAACAAAUGACCUGAAAUGUCAAGGACUUAGUAGUACUACAAGUCGGCCUACUACCACUACUGUAUUGAGCCAAAGCAAUCCUGACAUAAUAUGUUGUAAAAAUGUUUUGUUGAUGCAGAUAAGCUAAUAAAUAUUUGUUUAGAAUUUUAUUUUAAAGAAGCACAAAUGUUAUCAAGUUGCACAAAUGUUAUCAAGCACAGCAAUUUUGACUGCAACAUUUACUUUAAUUAACUAAAAAUAUAUACUUAGUUUCUUUUAAAGAUUUUACUAUUUUCUAGGGCUAUCUUCUGUAUA